This is a long non-coding RNA of Venturia canescens, 986 nucleotides long. RefSeq lists it as uncharacterized. The record is from RefSeq and is a predicted model, not a curated record. Lineage: Eukaryota; Metazoa; Arthropoda; Insecta; Hymenoptera; Ichneumonidae. The transcript has 3 exons.
AAUAAUACGAUCUCGUUGAGCGUAUCGCGAUUCCUGACCUACACAAAGUCGGAAAUCCGAUCAGCUAAAUUCGAUGUAGAUUCUUCCUUUUGUUCGUCCCUUUUUGCGAAUUAUACCGGCGAAUAAACAUUUCCAAGUUAUUAAAGCCUGCAGCAGAGAUCGAUCGAAGGCUCCCAGCGCGACGGCAACGUGCUUCGGGUGAAGCUAGUAAUGAGAAGGAGACCCGGCGCGGGAGACACAAGGGCAAGAAGUUUCUAAUUAACACCUUUUCUCCAAACCGGUUGAGAGUCAACUACUUCAUGUCGAACAUCAAUAUCGAGCGCGCUUAAUACACACGAAUGAACGAAUUUGUAGUGCGGGAGCGACGACUGUGGCGCCUGGUCUGCUGCUGCUGCUGCGAGCUUUCCUCGUGGCUCGUACGACUAAUCCUGGCCCGAGGCCAGUGCUUCGGAGUGAAAAAGAUCCAGCUAUGCGGAGAGCCAGAGAGGGAGAGAGGGGGUGGCGAGUGAAUAUAUACAAACAUGAGACAACACACGUUUGCCAGUGCAAACAUAUAACUCUGGCGUGCCAAUGUCGAAAGUCGUUUGCCCAACGAUGACACGAAUGACGCAAGAUCGUCUUACGCCCCAUGCGAAUUGAUCGAGCAGAUGUAACGCUGGACAUACAUGCUGACCGAGAUUGCCACGAACGAAGGAAUUUCUCCAAAUAACGAGAUAUCAAGAUACACAGUGAGACUGGACCGCUCGUAUAUGAAGCUGCACAUAUACAAGCACGGAUUACAUAAGCCGGAUAAACUUUCGAGGCGUUGCAAGCCAGAUUAUGUGGACUAAAAAUAGUUGAGCGCGCAGAGUACGAAACUCGUCAUCGAGCGUAAUCGCCUCUCGGUGAACCACUUCAUCCAGUCGUUAAUCGCUCUGGGCCAGAGGGCGACGUGGUCAGUCACGAAAAUACAUAUGACGUUAUAGCCGAGUGCUGCUAGAGUAACU